CGUGUAGGCGGCCUGAUAAGUCAGACGUGAAAGCCCGCGGCUUAACCGCGGGACUGCGUUUGAAACUAUUAGGCUUGAGGAUCGGAGAGGGCAGUGGAAUUCCCAGUGUAGCGGUGAAAUGCGUAGAUAUUGGGAGGAACACCAGUGGCGAAGGCGACUGCCUGGACGACACCUGACGCUGAGGCGCGAAAGCUAGGGGAGCAAACGGGAUUAGAUACCCCGGUAGUCCUAGCCGUAAACGAUGGGUACUAGGUGUGGGAGGUAUCGACCCCUUCCGUGCCGCAGUUAACACAAUAAGUACCCCGCCUGGGGAGUACGGCCGCAAGGUUGAA
Molecule: ribosomal RNA, 332 nt
Filed under: uncultured bacterium
Lineage: Bacteria
Description: bacterial SSU rRNA
Rfam family: Bacterial small subunit ribosomal RNA
Source: RNAcentral